GAUUCUUUCGCACAAUAGUGGUGCAACCAACUCAUAAUUGGAAGCUCGAGGUUCAAUUCCUCAAGGGUCA
This 70-nucleotide transfer RNA is filed under the name Paramecium tetraurelia. It matches the Rfam family "tRNA". Rfam says of the family: Transfer RNA (tRNA) molecules are approximately 80 nucleotides in length. The record is from Rfam by way of RNAcentral. Lineage: Eukaryota; Ciliophora; Oligohymenophorea; Peniculida; Parameciidae.